GCCCGGGUGCCGGAACGGCAGACGGAGGUGCCUUAAAAGCACCGGCCCGAAAGGGCGUGUGGGUUCGAGUCCCACCCCGGGCA
RNAcentral lists this transfer RNA (83 nucleotides) under Actinomycetes bacterium. RNAcentral describes it as "Actinobacteria bacterium tRNA-Leu". It matches the Rfam family "tRNA". From Rfam's summary of the family: Transfer RNA (tRNA) molecules are approximately 80 nucleotides in length. RNAcentral also lists the same sequence under 1 other name. The record is from RNAcentral. Lineage: Bacteria; Bacillati; Actinomycetota; Actinomycetes.